GAAUUUUGGACAAUGGGCGAAAGCCUGAUCCAGCAAUGCCGCGUGCAGGAUGAAGGCCUUCGGGUUGUAAACUGCUUUUGUACGGAACGAAAAGCUUUGGGUUAAUACCCUGGAGUCAUGACGGUACCGUAAGAAUACACACCGGCUAACUCCGUGCACGCACCCGCGGUAAGACGUAGGUUGCAAGCGUUAAUCGGAAUUCCGGGGCGUAAAGCGUGCGCAGGCGGUUUUGUAAGACAGAGGUGAAAUCCCCGGGCUCACCCUGGGAACUGCCUUUGUAACUGCAAGGCUAGAGUACGGCAGAGGGGGGUGGAAUUCCGCGUGUAGCAGUGAAAUGCGUAGAUAUGCGGAGGAACACCGAUGGCGAAGGCAACCCCCUGGGCCUGUACUGACGCUCAUGCACGAAAGCGUGGGGAGCAAACAGG
Molecule: ribosomal RNA, 425 nt
Filed under: uncultured bacterium
Lineage: Bacteria
Description: partial 16S ribosomal RNA
Rfam family: Bacterial small subunit ribosomal RNA
Source: RNAcentral